UACGUAGGUGGCAAGCGUUGUCCGGAUUUACUGGGCGUAAAGAGCGCGCAGGCGGUCGAAUAAGUCGAAUGUGAAAGCCCCCGGCUUAACUGGGGAGGGUCAUUCGAUACUGCUCGACUUGAAGGCAGGAGAGGGUAGUGGAAUUCCCCAAGUAGAGGUGAAAUUCGUAGAUAUGGGGAGGAACACCGGUGGCGAAGGCGACCAUCUGGACGGAUACUGACGCUGAGACGCGAAAGCGUGGGUAGCAAACAGG
RNAcentral lists this ribosomal RNA (253 nucleotides) under uncultured bacterium. Its description in RNAcentral is "partial 16S ribosomal RNA". It matches the Rfam family "Bacterial small subunit ribosomal RNA", at positions 524 to 776 of the family's 1533-position model. The record is from RNAcentral.